Molecule: unclassified non-coding RNA, 627 nt
Filed under: Hevea brasiliensis (rubber tree)
Lineage: Eukaryota; Viridiplantae; Streptophyta; Magnoliopsida; Malpighiales; Euphorbiaceae
Source: RNAcentral
GAUUUUUCGCAUUUUGGUUUAUGGGUAAGCCCUACACCUCAGGAUUCAAAUAUAGGACAAUUCAGUGAAAAUUUCAAGCCUUUACCUUUGGGAUGCGUCCCAUAAAGACCAUUCAUGUAGUUCUUUUCUUUUUUAACUCUAAAAUGAUACGUUUCUUCUUUCCAUGAAAGAUUGAAACUUUAGAUUUUAAUUUUCAGGGCUUGGCUCAUUUUGGUCUGGCUUCUGGUUAAGGUAUCUAUUUGAGGCAUAGGGAAUGUCUCCCAUUCUGAUUUUGAGGACUAAAUUCCAAUUGAAAUUGAAAUCAAUAAGCUAAAUACCUGUAUGCCACUGUAGCCAAAGUUGGGUAAAUGGGCUAUAAUUUUUUGAUAAAGGCUAAGAAGUAAUUUUGCUCUUUUCGCAAUAACUCAGCCGUGUGUAUCACCAUCAGGUGGCAUUUCAAGUGAUUAGUGAGCAACUAAUGCUCCUGCAAUUUUCUACUAUUAUUUUCUCUCUUUCUCUCUCUCUUGUUUUAUUCUUAAUUAAAUUUUCUGUCCUUUUCUUAUUUAUAAGAAUGUGAGGAUCACAUCAUUAGUUUAUUAAAUUAUUAGAUUCCAAUUUUUUUAUGGUUAAAAAGCAUCCAGAAAAUUU